Molecule: long non-coding RNA, 452 nt
Organism: Pteropus alecto (black flying fox)
Lineage: Eukaryota; Metazoa; Chordata; Mammalia; Chiroptera; Pteropodidae
Exons: 3
Source: RefSeq, a predicted model, not a curated record
CCGGUCUCUGGUGUAUUCGGCGCGUAGGAUGUGUUUCUGUUAACAGCAAUGUAUGCUGGGUGCUAGCCGCGGAAUCCGUGGCGAACAAGGAUGUCAACCGUGCCUUCGUUGAGUUUAUGUGAAGUUAUAAGCAACAAACAAAUGCAAACGCGAUAUAAAGUCAAAAUAGGACCGAGGUUUAAAGAACUCACUGGAGGCAUGGCGCUUGACUUUGACCUGCGGAUCUGCUCGAUGGGCCUUCUCGCUGCAGGAGGAGGCAUGGCGUUUCACCUGGGCCCCAGUGGGACGUUCCGGCUCCUCAUCCUGGGUGGGAGAUGGAGGAAGGAGAUGAAGUGCAGAGGAGAAGACAUGUGAGGACACAGCGAGAAGGCAGCUAUCUACAAGCUCAGAAGAAAGGUCUCUCCAGACACCAACCCUGAUGGUACCUUGAUUUUGUACUUCUAGCCUCUUGA